AACGGUCUAUACCUGCGGUACCUGCGGAGGGAUCAUUACCGAGUUAUCAACUCCCAAACCCCUGUGAACAUACCCGAACGUUGCCUCGGCGGGACCGCCCCGGCGCCCCUAGCGGCCCGGAACCAGGCGCCCGCCGGAGGACCCAAACUCUUGCUUUAAACAGUGGCAUACUCUCUGAGUCUCACAAACAAAAAAUAAAUCAGAACUUUUAACAAUGGAUCUCUAGAUCGGAAGAGCACA
This 240-nucleotide unclassified non-coding RNA is filed under the name soil metagenome. RNAcentral describes it as "partial contains 5.8S ribosomal RNA, internal transcribed spacer 2, and large subunit ribosomal RNA". The record is from RNAcentral.